This is an RNA transcript of Rhinolophus ferrumequinum (greater horseshoe bat), 1123 nucleotides long. It is a transcript of the gene named putative BPIFA4P protein, with no coding region annotated. NCBI's taxonomy places the organism in Eukaryota, Metazoa, Chordata, Mammalia, Chiroptera, Rhinolophidae. The record is from RefSeq and is a predicted model, not a curated record. The transcript has 9 exons.
GUCUUCCCCAGUGAUGAGAUCACUCACCAUAUAUGAAGUCUGACCCACUGCAAAGUCUAUCAGGAAUCAACUGACAGAGACCCAGAGCAUCUCUACAGCACACUGAAGAUAUUCAGGUACCUGACCCAAGAUGCUGAAGGUCUCUGGCCUCUUCAUUCUCCUCUGUGGGCUGCUUGGCUCAUCCGUUGCUGAACUGUCCCUUUCCGACGUGGUCGGCGGUGAGACUGUCCUGAUGUGGGUCAUGCUAGCCUUGUCAGACCUAUAGGCCUCUCCUAGAAGUCCAGGCCAAGAGCUAAAAACUCCAAGAAAUACACAUGUUAACCGAAGGGAUGCUAAUGGACUUCAGAGAUUCAGUGGAGAACUUCAUCAACAUGCCAAUAAAUGAACUGAUAAUUGACAUCCCGCUUAGCCCUAAAGACAUGGUACAGGUGAAAGACUUUCAAAUCCUUCCAGUCUCCCUUAAGAAAUAUCCUGAUGACACGAAGGCUGAUUUAAACGUACCAUUCAGAUUUUCAGUAGUUCUGAAUCUCCCAGGUUUUGAUCCCCUCACAUUUCACAUGGGGAUGGAUGUGAAAAUCGAGCUUUAUUUGGAAAAGAAUAAAGAUGGCAACUACCAACUUAACUUUUCGCAUUGCAGUUUCGUACCUGAAUCUCUAUGGAUCCAGCUUGAAAGCUCAGGCCUGGCCACAAAAUUGAUUACGGAAAACAGGCAGAGAAAAUUGAAAAUCCUGAUAGCCAAUAAGUUGGGAGCUUUUAUGUGUAACUUUGUUAAUUCAUGGCUCAGAGACCUGCAUCCACGAAUUGCAAAUUCACUGAUUAAAGAGAUUCUACAAUUAGACAAAUUACAAGUCACCGCCUAAAUAUCCUCAAGGUGAAGGAGCCACGUCAGUACCAAUCCGAAUCAGGUCCUGCUUGCUGAUCUCCUCUCUGGAAUGUCCUCCACACUCCAGGCCAUCACCUAUGUAGAUGUUCAUGUUGAUUAUUCAGCUGCUGCCUAGAAUUUCCUUACCCACCCUGGUCCCAAAUAUCCCCUAUUUCUCUGGGUAUGGAGGCUGUAAAUCACCAGAAUCCAUGUGCUGAUUCCCCAUAAUCUUCCCACAAUAAAUUUUGUGAUUCUCUGAAC